UACGUAGGGUCCGAGCGUUGUCCGGAAUUACUGGGCGUAAAGAGCUCGUAGGUGGUUUGUCGCGUUGUUCGUGAAAACUCACAGCUCAACUGUGGGCGUGCGGGCGAUACGGGCAGACUGGAGUACUGCAGGGGAGACUGGAAUUCCUGGUGUAGCGGUGGAAUGCGCAGAUAUCAGGAGGAACACCGGUGGCGAAGGCGGGUCUCUGGGCAGUAACUGACGCUGAGGAGCGAGAGCGUGGGGAGCGAACAGG
This 253-nucleotide ribosomal RNA is filed under the name uncultured bacterium. RNAcentral's name for it is "partial 16S ribosomal RNA". It matches the Rfam family "Bacterial small subunit ribosomal RNA", at positions 524 to 776 of the family's 1533-position model. The record is from RNAcentral.